GCCCCCGCCCCCGCCCCGCAGGGCCCCCAGGCCGGGCGCUGGGGGCGCACAGGCAUACAGAUUCUCUCUCCUCACCACGCGGCUGCUGCUGGAGGAUGGAGGAGGGGUGGUGUCAGCAAUUCAAGACUGUCUUUCCUACCCUCUUCAGUGCCCUUCCUUGAUAAGCUGUUUAAACCAGGUAUGUAAGGUUCAUGUGGAUAAGGGCUUUGUCUUGUUCAGCAACGUGUCCAUUGCCCUGGAACAGUGCCUACUACCUAGCAGCCAUUCAUGUUCCAGGAAGUCAUGGCAAUUGAGAAGGCGUAGGAGGAAAUGCUCUCAAGCUGGGCCAGUGGCCAACUGCAGAACGGAGAGUGGCCGAGCAGGGAAGGUCAUAGAAGGCACAGGAUGGGGAAGGACACUGGAGACCAGGUUCCUGUAGGCUUCCAGAGACCACCUGCAUUUGUUGGUUGAUAGCCUCUUCCUCGAAUCACCCUGAUCCUCUGCUUCUGUGGCCACAUUUUCAUCUCUCCAAAUCUGAGUCUUCUGCCUGUCUCCUCUAGGGACCCUUGAGAUGACUUUGGGCCCAUCCAGAUCAUCCAAGAUAAUCUCCCCUUCUCAAGUUUCUUAAUCACUUCGGCAAGGUCUUUUUUGCCACAUAAAGUAAUAUUUGCACUGGGUUCAGGAAUCAGGAUGUGGGCAUCUUUGUGGGGGGAGUCACUAUUCCACCUACCACACAGAGCCCCUUCAACAAGUGAGAUUAGAUGAGAAAAUGUUGGUGAAGCACUGAGCCCAGAGAUAGAGCAUAGUAGGUGUGGAUGCUGGUGAUAGUGAAGGGGUGAAUGGCUGACAAAGACCAGGUGACUAAUUUCACAGCUGCCAGAAAUCAGCCUCCAGGGACACACAAGGAGCUUUGCCACACGCUGAAUCAGAUAAGGCCUCUGACUUUGUUUUGCCCCAGAAGCAGACCUCAAGAAGAGGACUCCAGUGCAAGUAGUUUAUUUAGAAGGCAAGCCCACAAAAAGUGGGAAAGCGAGACAGGCAAGGCAAGGCAAGGAAACCAAUGGAGAAUGCCAUGAAGCUAGUUACCACCAUAGGCAGGUGGAGCUUAAUCCCACUGGGGAAUUGUGGAAAACAGUGUGGAGCUCUGCACCUCAGAGUUAACCUACCUGAGAGGUGACAGGGCUGGGGUAUGGAUGCACCAAUUCCCUUCAGUCUGUUGCAAGUUGUUCCAGGGAGGGGGAGAGUGGAGUUAAUUCACCUACACACCCAUCUGCACACACAUAUAUAAAGCAGGCUCUGCUAUUUACAAUAGCAAAGACUUGGAACCAACCCAAAUGCCCAUCAAUGAUAGACUGGAUAAAGAAAAGGUGGCACAUAUACACCAUGGAAUACUAUGCAGCCAUAAAAAAGAAUGAGUUCAUGUCCUUUGCGGGGACAUGAAUGAAGUUGGAAAUCAUCAUCCUCAGCAAACUAACACAGGAACAUAAAACCAAACACUGCAUGUUCUCACUCAUAAGUGGGAGCUGAACAAUGAUAACACAUGGACAUAGGGAGGGGAAUAUCACACACUGAAGCCUGUCAGGGGGUGGGAGGAAAGGGAAGGGAGAGCAUUAGGACAAAUACCUAAUGCAUGCAGGCCUUAAAACCUAGAUGAUUGGUUGAAAGGUGCAGCAAACCACCAUGGCACAUGUAUACCUAUGUAACAAACCUGCACAUUCAGCACAUGUAUCCCAGAACUUAAAGUAAAAUAAAAUAAGUAAUGAUAGAAAAAAAAUUAAAAAGUAAAGCAGGCUCUGAUGGCCAGAGAAUGCCUACCUGCAAAUAUCCAUAGGUGCUGGCAACUGGAAGUCUGGCUGCGUGCACUGAAAUGGCAAAGAUAGGGGUGCUGCGGCCAGGUACUGGUGGUGUCUGCUACCCCACCUUGAGCCUAUAGUCUUCAUUUCUUGUGGACACUAUCCACAGGCCAAGAUAAUGCAGAAAGAUGAGAAAAUCAAGGAGUCAGCGUCUGCCCAAAGUGAAGGUAAGAGGAUGGCUUGGAAUUCACAGCUGGCAACUGAAGCUGUUGAAAGACAUCACCUUAAUGUUGCUCUCCAGGGCUUGCAGCCCUCUUAGGACAGGUGCUGUCUGCAGGGCGGCCUUGCGGUGACAGUGGUCGCCCCGCUGAAUCCCCAAUGCUGUCUUAUAUUGCCACUUUCCUGGGAGGCUGUCAUCCAUCUCUGAUUUAGACUACCCCGAGGUCUUACGGUUAAGCUGUUGAGUAGGUUUUGUCAUUCUGUAUUAUUUUCCUUUGUACUUUUUGUUCAGGAAGGUUCCUGGCUGUCUUUGGUGU
Molecule: long non-coding RNA, 2308 nt
Organism: Homo sapiens (human)
Lineage: Eukaryota; Metazoa; Chordata; Mammalia; Primates; Hominidae
Gene: STX17-DT
Product: STX17 divergent transcript
Source: Ensembl